ACUGCCCGGGGCGGCUGAGCGGCCGGUCACGAGGGCAUGAUGGGGCCUCAUGAGGAAGCCACACAGGCCCCGGUGUGUGGGACCCAGUGACUCAGGAGCUACGCAGUGGGGUUGUGCCCUGGGCCGGCUCCACUGUCCACCUGGGCAGCACCUGCCUUGCUGUGUUGCCUCAGUUUCUCCAUCUGCACAUGGGAAGCAUGGCCUUGGACAGCCUCUGUCCCUGCGUGGCUCCGUCACCUCCGGCCACAGACACAGCAGAAGUCCUCUGGGAAACAUAGUCCUGAAGCCCCCACCCAGCUCUGGUUUCUGUCCUGGCCGGCUCCGUUCCGUGACUGCCCCCCAAGAGAGCCCUUCUGAGGCUGUCCUUGCUGCCAAGCCAAAGGUUCCGUUGCACUCUGAGUCACAAUUUCUCUUUCCAUCCACCUUCAGAGGGAGAUAGUUAACGUGGACCUGAAUACCGCAGAGAUGCUAUCUCCUGUUACUCGGCUACUAACCCAUCUCUCUCUCUGCAACUACGGACUCAGCUUUUAAUGUGUGAAACUUCUAGGGAAGUUCCAGACAGGGGCAAUGAAGGAGCUCAGGAAAUCUCACCCCCAAAUAUGACCCUUGACAUAAAGAACAUUUUGAAUUAAAGGCUCUUGGACAGUAGCAGGCCCCUGGGAGAGGCUUUCCCUCUAUCUGCACAAACCGGACCGACCUGAUCAGAUCAAAGGCGGCAGUUGGCUUCCCUUCCUCUCCCUGUUACCGCAUAGAUUUCAGGAAACAAGAUCGAGAAUGCAAGCAGACCUGGCCCAAGUCAUUUUAAACACAACACCUGCCUUUAGGUUAACAUAAUUUGCAAAGAGAAUCAUUUACAUGUUACCUGUCUCCCCCAUCCAUUUGUUCUCUCU
Microcebus murinus (gray mouse lemur) is the source of this 890-nucleotide non-coding RNA. The record is from RefSeq and is a predicted model, not a curated record. Lineage: Eukaryota; Metazoa; Chordata; Mammalia; Primates; Cheirogaleidae.